This 780-nucleotide ribosomal RNA is filed under the name uncultured bacterium. RNAcentral describes it as "bacterial SSU rRNA". It matches the Rfam family "Bacterial small subunit ribosomal RNA", at positions 1 to 758 of the family's 1533-position model. The record is from RNAcentral.
CCGUGUACGAUUCGCCUUGAGUUUGAUCAUGGCUCAGGACGAACGCUGGCGGCGCGCUUAACACAUGCAAGUCGAGCGAGAACCGGCCCUUCGGGGCCGGGGACAGCGGCGAACGGGUGAGUAACACGUGGGUAAUCAACCCUCGGUACUGGGAUAGCCCGGGGAAACCCGGAUUAAUACCGGAUGGCCCUUUGGAUCCUCGGAUCUGAAGGAAAAGGUAGCUUCGGCCUCCGACCGAGGACGAGCCCGCGGCGGAUUAGCUUGUUGGUGGGGUAACGGCCCACCAAGGCGACGAUCCGUAGCUGGUCUGAGAGGACGAUCAGCCACACUGGGACUGAGACACGGCCCAGACUCCUACGGGAGGCAGCAGUGGGGAAUCUUGUCCAAUGGGCGAAGGCCUGAGACAGCGACGCCGCGUGCGGGAAGAAGGCCUUCGGGUUGUAAACCGCUUUCAGGAGGGACGAAGCCACUCGGGUUAAUAGCCCAGAGGGUGACGGUACCUCCAGAAGAAGCCCCGGCCAACUACGUGCCAGCAGCCGCGGUAAUACGUAGGGGGCAAGCGUUGUCCGGAUUUAUUGGGCGUAAAGAGCGUGUAGGCGGCCAUGCAGGUCCGUUGUGAAAACUCGAGGCUCAACCUCGAGCUGUCGAUGGAAACCGUAUGGCUAGAGUCCGGAAGAGGAGAGUGGAAUUCCUGGUGUAGCGGUGAAAUGCGCAGAUAUCAGGAAGAACACCCGUGGCGAAGGCAGCUCUCUGGGACGGUACUGACGCUGAGACGCGAAA